RNAcentral lists this ribosomal RNA (253 nucleotides) under uncultured bacterium. RNAcentral's name for it is "partial 16S ribosomal RNA". It matches the Rfam family "Bacterial small subunit ribosomal RNA", at positions 524 to 776 of the family's 1533-position model. The record is from RNAcentral.
UACAGAGGGUGCGAGCGUUAAUCGGAAUUACUGGGCGUAAAGCGCGCGUAGGCGGCUUUGCAAGCCGGAUGUGAAAUCCCCGGGCUUAACCUGGGAACUGCAUUCGGGACUGCAUUGCUAGAGUAUGGGAGAGGGAAGUGGAAUUUCAGGUGUAGCGGUGAAAUGCGUAGAUAUCUGAAGGAACAUCAGUGGCGAAAGCGACUUCCUGGACCAAUACUGACGCUCAUGGGCGAAAGCGUGGGGAGCAAACAGG